Long non-coding RNA from Sinocyclocheilus rhinocerous, 96 nucleotides. RefSeq lists it as uncharacterized. The record is from RefSeq and is a predicted model, not a curated record. NCBI's taxonomy places the organism in Eukaryota, Metazoa, Chordata, Actinopteri, Cypriniformes, Cyprinidae. The transcript has 3 exons.
CGGGAUGGUUGCUAGGGUGUUGCUAUGGUACCCGGGGCAGUUGCUAAGGUGUUACUAUGCGGUUUCUAGGGUACCCGAGUUAGUUGCUAGGGUGUU